GAUGAACGCUGGCGGCGUGCUUAACACAUGCAAGUCGAACGGUGAAGGGACCGGUUUUUGCUGGUUCUGGAUGAGUGGCGAACGGGUGAGUAACACGUGAGUAACCUGCCCCCUUCUUCUGGAUAACCGCAUGAAAGUGUGGCUAAUACGGGAUAUUCUGCGCCUGCUGCAUGGUGGGUGUGGGAAAGAUAUUGUUUCGGUGGGGGAUGGGCUCGCGGCCUAUCAGCGUGGUGGUGGGGUGAUGGCCUACCAAGGCGGUGACGGGUAGCCGGCCUGAGAGGGUGGACGGUCACACUGGGACUGAGACACGGCCCAGACUCCUACGGGAGGCAGCAGGGGGGAAUAUUGCACAAUGGGCGCAAGCCUGAUGCAGCGACGCCGCGUGAGGGAUGGAGGCCUUCGGGUUGUAAACCUCUUUCGCCAGUGAAGCAGGCCUGUCCCUUGUGUGGGUGGGUUGACGGUAGCUGGAGAAGAAGCGCCGGCUAACUACGUG
RNAcentral lists this ribosomal RNA (493 nucleotides) under uncultured bacterium. RNAcentral's name for it is "partial 16S ribosomal RNA". It matches the Rfam family "Bacterial small subunit ribosomal RNA", at positions 28 to 507 of the family's 1533-position model. The record is from RNAcentral.